Molecule: ribosomal RNA, 465 nt
Filed under: Vreelandella stevensii
Lineage: Bacteria; Pseudomonadati; Pseudomonadota; Gammaproteobacteria; Oceanospirillales; Halomonadaceae
Description: partial 16S ribosomal RNA
Rfam family: Bacterial small subunit ribosomal RNA
Source: RNAcentral
CCUACGGGUGGCAGCAGUGGGGAAUAUUGGACAAUGGGGGCAACCCUGAUCCAGCCAUGCCGCGUGUGUGAAGAAGGCCCUCGGGUUGUAAAGCACUUUCAGUGAGGAAGAACGCCUGGUGGUUAUUACCCAUCAGGAAAGACAUCACUCACAGAAGAAGCACCGGCUAACUCCGUGCCAGCAGCCGCGGUAAUACGGAGGGUGCGAGCGUUAAUCGGAAUUACUGGGCGUAAAGCGCGCGUAGGUGGCUUGAUAAGCCGGUUGUGAAAGCCCCGGGCUCAACCUGGGAACGGCAUCCGGAACUGUCAAGCUAGAGUGCAGGAGAGGAAGGUAGAAUUCCCGGUGUAGCGGUGAAAUGCGUAGAGAUCGGGAGGAAUACCAGUGGCGAAGGCGGCCUUCUGGACUGACACUGACACUGAGGUGCGAAAGCGUGGGUAGCAAACAGGAUUAGAUACCCGUGUAGUC